This 600-nucleotide ribosomal RNA is filed under the name uncultured bacterium. RNAcentral describes it as "bacterial SSU rRNA". It matches the Rfam family "Bacterial small subunit ribosomal RNA", at positions 726 to 1331 of the family's 1533-position model. The record is from RNAcentral.
GCACGAGUCCUUAACUGACGCUAAAGCUCGAAAGUGCGGGUAUCGAACAGGAUUAGAUACCCUGGUAGUCCGCACGGUAAACGAUGGAUGCCCGCUGUUGGCGAUAUACAGUCAGCGGCCAAGUGAAAACGUUAAGCAUCCCACCUGGGGAGUACGCCGGCAACGGUGAAACUCAAAGGAAUUGACGGGGGCCCGCACAAGCGGAGGAACAUGUGGUUUAAUUCGAUGAUACGCGAGGAACCUUACCCGGGCUUGAACUGCAGGGGAACGAUCCAGAGAUGGUGAGGUCAGCAAUGACUCCUGUGGAGGUGCUGCAUGGUUGUCGUCAGCUCGUGCCAUGAGGUGUCGGCUUAAGUGCCAUAACGAGCGCAACCCUUUUCUCUAGUUGCCAUCAGGUUAAGCUGGGCACUCUGGAGACACUGCCACCGUAAGGUGUGAGGAAGGUGGGGAUGACGUCAAAUCAGCACGGCCUGACAUGAGGUGUGUACACACCUGUUACAAUGGGUGAUACAGAGAAUUAGUCGUUCGCAAGAACGGUUUAAUCAAGAAAGUCAUCGUCAGUUCGGAUUGGGCUAUGCAACCCGACGACACAAGCUGGAU